AACUUGAGGUUAAUGAAAAACUUCCCAGCGUUGAGUUGCCUGUAGCCGGCACACCUGCCCGCCGCCUGCCAUCGAUACAAACAUUUCAAUAGUGCGCCACAUGUUUCACCACCAAGAGAUCCCUGUAAAAGUUGUUUAAUAAAUGUUACCGUCUGUUUUACAGACCUCUACCCCCACCCCUACUUUCAAUUGAAAGUUGAUUCUUUUACUCAGCUAUAAACAUCAUUCCGCCCAAUCAGGGCUGGUUUAGAUCAAAUGGGCUGAUCGCUGGGCCGCCCGCUAACAGACGACUUCAACCCCUGUCUCGUCUCUCUCUCUCCUCUAACUGCUCGUCAACCCUGCCGCACUGUUAAGGCUGCGAGAUGCCUGUCACUGUAUUUUGUCAGCAAAGCAUAAUAUUUCUUCAGGAGUUCUGAACCUGGCACUCAGCGGGGUAGAAAUGAAAAUACAGCAGUGCAUAAACGGAGGGCGUCAGACGUAAAUCACCUAACAUGGGGAGGAGGCGGCAGGUAGAGAAAGCUGCCGGCUGUCACAGCGCUCCCCUGGAAAGCAGAUUGGACACCAGCCAUCACGCUUUAAUCAGCCUGAGAAUAAUUGAUGUGUCCAUGCUCCCUUCUGUCACACGCACGCAGGGUGCUGUGGACCGGAGGUUGACAGUGUGACAUAUGCUACCUUACAUUCGGUCAUUCUUGCCAUUCCUACAACCUGGCAGGGUAUAAGGACUUUUUCAUGGACGUUUCUGAAGAGGAUAUUGGAGCCAUUCACAACAGUUGAUCCACUGCAUUGAGGGUCCAUAUCAAGUCUCUGAGCAGAUGUUCUAAGCCAGCCUCUACCCCAAAGCCACUGAUCCAACAGAUAAAAUUUGAGUUGACACUACAACAUGCCUUUUUGCAGAAAACCUCAUUUGGACUGCCAUUUGAUUUUCAUGCACACGCUUGUGCACUUUUUGUUUUAAAUUGUGAAAGAGGAAAGAGGAGAGCCAAAUUUUAACUGUUAUGAAUAUUGACUUUUUUGUGGCGUAAACAUGACAAGUCAUGAUGUUUUCUUCAUAUUGUCCAAGAAAUUGUUCUAGCAUUCAUGGUCCACUGUGCAUCAGACAACUGUUAAGUGUCUGAAAUAUCUCACAGGGAAAAUGAUCAGAAUGAAAUGGCAUCCAAUAUGCAGCCCGUUUGUUAGGCUGCCUGGCAAAAAAAUAAGAGUAUGGCAUGAUAUAUUCUUUUGGCCAGAAAACAAAUUGAAAAGGGGAAGUUGUUUUUCUCACUCUGAUAUUUUGAGAUGUGCGUUGAUGGAAUAAAUGAUACUGCUAAUGAUAAUGCUACUGCACUGCAAUUAUUCUACUCUGAUGCUUUCAUGUGUUUCAAACAGGGUCUGUAACUAUUUGUAUCGUUAACUUCUGU
Long non-coding RNA from Esox lucius (northern pike), 1397 nucleotides. RefSeq lists it as uncharacterized. The record is from RefSeq and is a predicted model, not a curated record. Lineage: Eukaryota; Metazoa; Chordata; Actinopteri; Esociformes; Esocidae. The transcript has 3 exons.